AGGACGAACGCUGGCGGCGCGCUUAACACAUGCAAGUCGAGCGAGAACCAGGGCUUCGGCUCUGGGGACAGCGGCGAACGGGUGAGUAACACGUGAGUAAUCUGCCCUCGACACUGGGAUAGCCCGGGGAAAACCCGGAUUAAUACCGGAUAGCCUUUCGAGCUCGUCGGGCUCGUCAAGAAAAGGAUGGCUUCGGCUUUCGGUUGAGGAUGAGCUUGCGGCGGAUUAGCUUGUGGUGAGGUAACGGCUCACCAAGGCGACAAUCCGUAGCUGGUCUGAGAGGACGAUCAGCCACACUGGGACUGAGACACGGCCCAGACUCGACGGGAGCAGCAGUGGGAAUCUUGCGCAAUGAGACGAAAGCGUUGACGCAGCGACGCCGCGUGAGGAAGAACGGCCGUUCGGUUAGUAAACCGUUCGUUUACGAGGAGGACGAAGGCCGCG
Molecule: ribosomal RNA, 444 nt
Filed under: uncultured soil bacterium
Lineage: Bacteria
Description: bacterial SSU rRNA
Rfam family: Bacterial small subunit ribosomal RNA
Source: RNAcentral